RNAcentral lists this ribosomal RNA (450 nucleotides) under uncultured bacterium. Its description in RNAcentral is "partial 16S ribosomal RNA". It matches the Rfam family "Bacterial small subunit ribosomal RNA", at positions 29 to 523 of the family's 1533-position model. The record is from RNAcentral.
AGCGAACAUUGGCGGUAGGCUUAACACAUGCAAGUCGAGCGAGGCGUAAUAGUCGAGCGGCGAACGGGUGAGUAAUACAUGGGAAUCUACUAUGGCGUGGGGGGUAAGAGCCAGAAAUGGAUGCUAAUACUGCAUAAUCCCGAGAUGGGAAAGCGCGCUGCGCUCCAAGAUGAGCCCAUGGCUGAUUAGCUAGUUGGUGGGGUAAAGGCCUACCAAGGCGACGAGCAGUAGCUGGUCUGAUAGGAUGAACAGGCACACUGAAACUGAGACACGGUCCAGACACCUACGGGAGGCAGCAGUGGGGAAUCUUGCGCAAUGGGGGCAACCCUGACGCAGCCAUACCGCGUGUGCGAUGAAGGUCUUCGGAUUGUACAGCACUUUCAGUAGGGGCGACGAUGACGGUACCUACAGAAGAAGUCACGGCUAACUUCGUGCCAGCAGCCGCGGUAA